Molecule: ribosomal RNA, 367 nt
Filed under: Callcosma abrapatricia
Lineage: Eukaryota; Metazoa; Arthropoda; Arachnida; Opiliones; Nomoclastidae
Description: partial small subunit ribosomal RNA
Source: RNAcentral
UAUGAAAUGAUUUUAAAAUUAGUAUAGUUUGAAAUUUAAUAAUUUUGGCGGUUAUAUUAUUUAUUAGAGGAGCUUGUCGUUAGAAUUUACUCUUUAUAUUUCAUUAAAUAAAGUCUAUUUAUCUCCGUUACUAGAAAACAUUUUAAUAAAAUUUUAUUUUAAAUCUCAGGUCAAGAUAUAGCAAUUUUUUUAAAGGAUUAGCUACAAUUACGUAGUAAUUGAUUUAUGAAAAUAAGAUAUUAAUGAAAAUGAAUUUAAUUGUAAUAUUUAAUUAAAAAAUUGUUAUGAAAUUUAAUAAUUAAUGUACAUAUUGCCCGUCACUUCUAAUUAUAAGUAGAAUAAGUCGUAACAAAGUAAAUUUAAGGGA